Molecule: ribosomal RNA, 202 nt
Filed under: Lactiplantibacillus plantarum
Lineage: Bacteria; Bacillati; Bacillota; Bacilli; Lactobacillales; Lactobacillaceae
Description: partial 16S ribosomal RNA
Rfam family: Bacterial small subunit ribosomal RNA
Source: RNAcentral
CUACACACUCCUACGGGAGGCAGCAGUGGGGAAUAUUGCACAAUGGGCGCAAGCCUGAUGCAGCCAUGCCGCGUGUAUGAAGAAGGCCUUCGGGUUGUAAAGUACUUUCAGCGGGGAGGAAGGGAGUAAAGUUAAUACCUUUACUCAUUGACGUUACCCGCAGAAGAAGCACCGGCUAACUCCGUGCCAGCAGCCGCGGUAA